This 279-nucleotide ribosomal RNA is filed under the name uncultured bacterium. RNAcentral's name for it is "partial 16S ribosomal RNA". It matches the Rfam family "Bacterial small subunit ribosomal RNA", at positions 506 to 784 of the family's 1533-position model. The record is from RNAcentral.
UGCCAGCAGCCGCGGUAAUACGGAGGGUGCAAGCGUUAAUCGGAAUUACUGGGCGUAAAGCGCGCGUAGGCGGUUAUUUAAGUCGGAUGUGAAAGCCCCGGGCUCAACCUGGGAACUGCAUUCGAUACUGGGUAACUAGAGUACGAGAGAGGGCGGUAGAAUUCCACGUGUAGCGGUGAAAUGCGUAGAUAUGUGGAGGAAUACCGGUGGCGAAGGCGGCCUCCUGGCUCGAUACUGACGCUCAGACCCGAAAGCGUGGGUAGCAAACAGGAUUAGAUA